Molecule: ribosomal RNA, 482 nt
Filed under: uncultured bacterium
Lineage: Bacteria
Description: partial 16S ribosomal RNA
Rfam family: Bacterial small subunit ribosomal RNA
Source: RNAcentral
AUUGAACGCUGGCGGCAUGCUUUACACAUGCAAGUCGAACGGUAACAGGCCGCAAGGUGCUGACGAGUGGCGAACGGGUGAGUAAUGCAUCGGUACGUGCCCAGUCGUGGGGGAUAACUACUCGAAAGAGUAGCUAAUACCGCAUACGAUCUAUGGAUGAAAGCGGGGGACCGUAAGGCCUCGCGCGAUUGGAGCGGCCGAUGUCAGAUUAGGUAGUUGGUGGGGUAAAGGCUCACCAAGCCAACGAUCUGUAGCUGGUCUGAGAGGACGACCAGCCACACUGGGACUGAGACACGGCCCAGACUCCUACGGGAGGCAGCAGUGGGGAAUUUUGGACAAUGGGCGCAAGCCUGAUCCAGCAAUGCCGCGUGCAGGAAGAAGGCCUUCGGGUUGUAAACUGCUUUUGUACGGAACGAAACGGCUCUGGUUAAUACCCGGGGCUAAUGACGGUACCAUAAGAAUAAGCACCGGCUAACUACGUG